Molecule: ribosomal RNA, 352 nt
Filed under: uncultured bacterium
Lineage: Bacteria
Description: bacterial SSU rRNA
Rfam family: Bacterial small subunit ribosomal RNA
Source: RNAcentral
GACGAACGCUGGCGGCGUGCCUAAUACAUGCAAGUCGAACGCACUCUCGUUUAGAUUGAAGGAGCUUGCUCCUGAUUGAUAAACAUUUGAGUGAGUGGCGGACGGGUGAGUAACACGUGGGUAACCUGCCCUAAAGUGGGGGAUAACAUUUGGAAACAGAUGCUAAUACCGCAUAAAACCUAACACCGCAUGGUGUAGGGUUGAAAGAUGGUUUCGGCUAUCACUUUAGGAUGGACCCGCGGUGCAUUAGUUAGUUGGUGAGGUAAAGGCUCACCAAGACCGUGAUGCAUAGCCGACCUGAGAGGGUAAUCGGCCACACUGGGUCUGAGACACGGCCCAGACUCCUACGGGA